RNAcentral lists this ribosomal RNA (491 nucleotides) under uncultured bacterium. Its description in RNAcentral is "partial 16S ribosomal RNA". It matches the Rfam family "Bacterial small subunit ribosomal RNA", at positions 28 to 507 of the family's 1533-position model. The record is from RNAcentral.
GAUGAACGCUGGCUACAGGCUUAACACAUGCAAGUCGAGGGGAAACGCCGUGGAAGCUUGCUUCCCCGGGCGUCGACCGGCGCACGGGUGAGUAACGCGUAUCCAACCUGCCUCUGACUGAGGGAUAACCCGUCGAAAGUCGGCCUAAUACCUCAUGGUAUCGUCUGCGGGCAUCCAACGACGAUUAAAGAUUUCAUCGGUCAGGGAUGGGGAUGCGUCUGAUUAGCUUGUUGGCGGGGUAACGGCCCAGCAAGGAUACGAUCAGUAGGGGUUCUGAGAGGAAGGUCCCCUAGAUUGGAACUGAGACACGGUCCAAACUGCUACGGGAGGGAGCGGUAAGGAAUAUAGGUCGCUGGACGAGAGCCUGAACCAGCCAAGUAGGGUGCAGGAAGACGGCCGUAGGGGUUGUAAACUGCUUUUAGGCGAGGAUAAAGUGAGGGACGUGUCCCUCAUUGCAGGUACCGAAUGAAUAAGGACCGGCUAAUUCCGUG